AUAAUGACUCUCGGCAACGGAUAUCUCGGCUCUCGCAUCGAUGAAGAACGUCGCGAAAUGCGAUACUUGGUGUGAAUUGCAGAAUCCCGUGAACCAUCGAGUCUUUGAACGCAAGUUGCGCCCGAAGCCUUCUGGCCGAGGGCACGUCUGCCUGGGCGUCACGCA
This 165-nucleotide ribosomal RNA is filed under the name Suaeda linearis. RNAcentral describes it as "5.8S ribosomal RNA". It matches the Rfam family "5.8S ribosomal RNA". Rfam says of the family: 5.8S ribosomal RNA (5.8S rRNA) is a component of the large subunit of the eukaryotic ribosome. It is transcribed by RNA polymerase I as part of the 45S precursor that also contains 18S and 28S rRNA. The record is from RNAcentral. Lineage: Eukaryota; Viridiplantae; Streptophyta; Magnoliopsida; Caryophyllales; Amaranthaceae.